GAUGGCAAAGAAAAGCUGUCUCUCCCUUUUUCUCUUGAAAAGAAACAGAAAAAAGUUGUAGAGCCUCCUCUUGGUUAACCACAACCUCUGUGAGCAAUAAAGAAGAUUCAGCAUAUAUACAGAGCAGAAUGAGCAACUGAUUCAUUCACAGGGAUGGUGAAUAAUAAUUAGAAUGUGGUCACGUGACCUCUACAAUUAAGAUCCAGGCGCCACUAAGAGUAUGUAGAGUUGUUUCUUACAUCCCUAAACCCUGAUAUCUUACCAGAAUUACUCCUAGCUGCAAGGGCUUAUCGGGAACGUCAGGAAACACAAGGCAGAAGUGUUGAAAAGAUGCCUCAUCCACCCAUUAUUUAGUUGCUAAGUUUAUUUUUCAGGAGGAAGGGGGGGGCGCUAGGGGCCUCUCUCUCUUAGUAACCGUCUUAACAGCCAUCAUCAACUUCGGAACAGGCCGUAAAAAUAUACGGCCAAGUAGGAUUCGUGCCGUUUUGUUUUAACUUCUGUUGAAUUUUAACCGCUUCGCAGCUUGACGAGGGCGAGAUGUUCGAAAGAUGCUUCGGACGUUUCUCAAGAAGGCAGAUCACGCACAAGCGCAGAAGUAACUUCUGGCAUGUCCCGCAACUCUUAGUUCCUAGCUCACUUCAGAUGGUUGCCCAUACUAACAGAUUCCUCUAUUCGAUGACAUGCACAAGAUUCCCAGCUGGUCUCCUGUCUUCUCAGUGACCCAGACCUUCAGCAAGGCUGCUACAGGAUGUUUCUUCAGGUGCUGGAGAGAUUCAUCAAAGAAGAGGCCCCACCCAACCCCCUUUUCCUAAACUGCUACUUAUCCAAAUUGACAACAUUUCCACCACUUACCCUUGGAUAAUUCUUUAUUCCACGUAUCUGCUUUGCCACAUGUCACCAGGAACAGGAAAACAUGGCCAAGAACCGACAAUGUGAGGCACAGAUUUAUUUAUUUUUUAAGGAGGAGAGGGUGAAUAAAAGUAGAAUCAUUAUUGUUUAAAGCCA
Molecule: long non-coding RNA, 1005 nt
Organism: Podarcis raffonei (Aeolian wall lizard)
Lineage: Eukaryota; Metazoa; Chordata; Lepidosauria; Squamata; Lacertidae
Exons: 4
Source: RefSeq, a predicted model, not a curated record